This 106-nucleotide unclassified non-coding RNA is filed under the name soil metagenome. RNAcentral describes it as "partial internal transcribed spacer 1". The record is from RNAcentral.
GUGAACGCCCUCACGGGCUUAUACUAUUCCAAACCUCUGUGAACUGUGCCCUUCGGGGCUAUUUUACAAACAUGGUGUAAUGAACGUCAUAUAUCAUAACAAAACA